CAUAAGCAAAGUUAGAAUAUAUGGCAAUGUUUUUAUGACGUAGAAUACAAAUGAUGGGAGACCAUUUAACCAAACUGACACACUAGUCUGGAAAGCAUUAUUAUUCUGAAAACUUUGAGGAUUCAGUUUAACAUUCCACUGUUCAUGAAAGGGAAGCAUCUACUUUUAUUUUAGUUACUGGUAAUGGAAGAUAGAAAUUAUCUCAACAGAGAUAUUUUCAGGGUUUAAUGGUGAGGCAAGAUUAAUAUUCUCUGAUUAUCAUUAAUCUGUAGAUAAACUUUCCAACAGUUGUAAUAACCUGUUUGAAUAUCUUUUGCAACAGAAACCAUGGCUAAUGAAAACCACUCUGCAUUUUCAUAAUCUACUGUCAUCUGUGUAGCUUGUUGCCUUAUCAGGGCCUGAGAGAAGACUGCCGCAAGAAAAGAGCAAGCAUCCAAGCAGAAGGAAGCAGGGUCUGAUAAACGAAUUAUUCUCCAGCAUUAUGGUGAUCACAGAGAAGAAACUUUCCCCAAGACAUGGAAAGAUCAGACUGGCAUGACUGUCACACCAGAGCUGCUGUAUGGCAAACCUCAGAUCCCAGUGGCCAAGAAAACAGACUCAGCGCAGAGAAAACUGCAUUAUGAACUGAAUGAUGGUUCAUCUUUAAUUUACUAUCCUUCUGAAUAUCUUGCUGUUUGCCAAAGCUACUGCAAUCUCCCAGGUGGGGGCUUGUGUACCAACAUAUUUAGUCCUUCUCCAGAUCACUCUAUAGUUGGAACUUUCACCCCUUUUGGACACGGCAGUAUCUGUCUUCCUAGCAGGUAGGCAGAUGCACUAUAAGCAUUUGCUUGAUGCUUCAAAUUACAGCACAGUGCAUGGAGCUAUAUAAGGAUCUG
Molecule: long non-coding RNA, 875 nt
Filed under: Apteryx owenii (little spotted kiwi)
Lineage: Eukaryota; Metazoa; Chordata; Aves; Apterygiformes; Apterygidae
Description: lncRNA (ENSAOWG00000006570.1)
Source: RNAcentral